UUCUCAGAUAUUUUAACUAUCACCUCUGUGCCAUUCAAUCUUAUUCACUUGAAUUUUCGAGAUUGGUAAGUAUGAAGUGUAAAUAUACUAAAAACGUUCUACUUCUGUGCAAGGUUUUUGUAUUUCAGUUAACCUCAGAGGACAUGAAAGUACUAGAUGACCUGAACAGAAACUUUCAAUAUCUUCCUGCUCACAUGGAGGCCUUUGUGAUGGCUUCUACCAGGAGCUCCCUGAGUGGCGCUGGAGGGGUCGCAGUUGCUGCUGCUUGGACGCAUCACCUCUGCCCCACCGUGCUGCCCAGACACCAUGCUCAACUCGAGCCAAGUCCACCCAUCCGGAAGAGUGAAUCUACAUGGUCCAAAUAAUUUGAGUGAAGACUUCCAGGAAGAUGGUGGAACAGUGAGCAGCAGAGAAGCAACCUCUCUGAAAUUUAGAAUCCAGAUGCUGGAAUAUGGCAACAUGAGGAAGAAAAGGAAGAGAGAAGUGGGUCCCCAGGACCCAGCAAGGAUCUGAAGCAAUAAUUAGAGCGCAUGGGGAGAGGAAAGACAGGGGCCACCAUACAGAAGAAGGGGUAGCAAGCCACACUUUCUCCAUGAGCUCCAGCGAACCUGCAGAGGCACAAUGACUACCAGUGACCCCAGAGGGCUCCAUGGAGAAAUCCACCAAUGGAACAGGGUACGUGCAGCAGGCUACAGUGGCUAGUAAGUUGUUAGGGCUCAGACACCCCCAGGGGAAGGCGAUUGGUCAGUUGCCAUUUUGGAAAGGGGCCCACUAAAGUCAGAACUCGCAGCAGCUGUGGGCUGACUCCAACUAGUGGACCCAAGUGCCAGGAUGAGGCACAACUGAGUUCAACCCAGCAGAAGGCACUCAGAGACUGAAAACAG
RNAcentral lists this long non-coding RNA (884 nucleotides) under Heterocephalus glaber (naked mole-rat). RNAcentral describes it as "lncRNA (ENSHGLG00000032268.1)". The record is from RNAcentral. Lineage: Eukaryota; Metazoa; Chordata; Mammalia; Rodentia; Bathyergidae.